This 69-nucleotide microRNA precursor is filed under the name Notamacropus eugenii (tammar wallaby). Its description in RNAcentral is "miRNA (ENSMEUG00000018301.1)". Lineage: Eukaryota; Metazoa; Chordata; Mammalia; Diprotodontia; Macropodidae. The record is from RNAcentral.
AGAGUCCUGACUUACGAGGCAUCUAGGUGGUGCAAUGGAUAGAGCACUGGGCUUGGAGUCAGAAAGACU